RNAcentral lists this ribosomal RNA (468 nucleotides) under uncultured bacterium. RNAcentral's name for it is "partial 16S ribosomal RNA". It matches the Rfam family "Bacterial small subunit ribosomal RNA", at positions 28 to 507 of the family's 1533-position model. The record is from RNAcentral.
GACGAACGCUGGCGGCGUGCUUAACACAUGCAAGUCGAACGGAGAGGCCCUGCUUUUGUGGGGUGCUCGAGUGGCGAACGGGUGAGUAACACGUGAGUAACCUGCCCUUGACUUUGGGAUAACUUCAGGAAACUGGGGCUAAUACCGGAUAGGAGCUCCUGCUGCAUGGUGGGGGUUGGAAAGUUUCGGCGGUUGGGGAUGGACUCGCGGCUUAUCAGCUUGUUGGUGGGGUAGUGGCUUACCAAGGCUUUGACGGGUAGCCGGCCUGAGAGGGUGACCGGCCACAUUGGGACUGAGAUACGGCCCAGACUCCUACGGGAGGCAGCAGUGGGGAAUAUUGCCCAAUGGGCGGAAGCCUGAUGCAGCAACGCCGCGUGCGGGAUGACGGCCUUCGGGUUGUAAACCGCUUUCGCCUGUGACGAAGCGUGAGUGACGGUAAUGGGUAAAGAAGCACCGGCUAACUACGUG